AGCAUGUGAUGCAACGGAGAAUGCAUCCACCUUAUUUUCACUCAAGAACAACACUGUUACUUAUGCUCAUUUAGUUAAAGGUAACGCUGGGGAGUUCUCUACCUCUACUCAUCUAGCAGUUCCAGAGAGCAUUCAGACUGCUGAUGGCACAACACAACUAAUGGUUUAUACGGGUACAGUUAGGGGUGAUCUUUCAAUAAAAGGGAAUUGGCCAGAGACUUGGGAUCGACAUGUGACAUAACGGAGUAUGGUAUUUGGAUAGAAAAGGGAUGGACUCAGCUAUGAAAUCCAUGACAGGGAGUGUUGGUGCAGGAGAAUCUGGGAGGAGUGUGAAGAAUGUAAUGUUGUUACAUCACAGACCCAUGAGACACUCUUUAUUUAGUCUAUUGAGUUAAUUGUAUCAUUCUCUGUAUGAAAAAACAAAUAAAUAAAAACUUGUGUGUGAUGCUUGUGAGUUUAGUAAGUAAAUCAGAAGCUCUUAUGUGAGUUCUAGCUAGAAGAGUCCUUGUGUCUUGAUUUGGUACAUUCAGAU
Molecule: long non-coding RNA, 532 nt
Organism: Phalaenopsis equestris
Lineage: Eukaryota; Viridiplantae; Streptophyta; Magnoliopsida; Asparagales; Orchidaceae
Exons: 3
Source: RefSeq, a predicted model, not a curated record